RNAcentral lists this ribosomal RNA (253 nucleotides) under uncultured bacterium. RNAcentral describes it as "partial 16S ribosomal RNA". It matches the Rfam family "Bacterial small subunit ribosomal RNA", at positions 524 to 776 of the family's 1533-position model. The record is from RNAcentral.
UACAGAGGGUGCAAGCGUUAAUCGGAUUUACUGGGCGUAAAGCGUGCGUAGGCGGUUCGUUAAGUCGGUUGUGAAAUCCCUGGGCUUAACCUGGGAACUGCAGUCGAUACUGAUGAACUAGAGUGCGGUAGAGGGUGGCGGAAUUCCAGGUGUAGCGGUGAAAUGCGUAGAUAUCUGGAGGAACACCGGUGGCGAAGGCGGCAUCCUGGACCAACACUGACACUGAGGAGCGAAAGCCAGGGGAGCAAACGGG